GGGUGCGAGGGCAUGGAGCUCGAGCGGUCCGUAAAACCGCGGCGCGAUCGCGCACGGUGGUUCGAUUCCACCCGUACCCA
This 80-nucleotide transfer RNA is filed under the name Myxococcaceae bacterium. Its description in RNAcentral is "tRNA-Tyr". Lineage: Bacteria; Pseudomonadati; Myxococcota; Myxococcia; Myxococcales; Myxococcaceae. The record is from RNAcentral.